This 325-nucleotide ribosomal RNA is filed under the name uncultured Lactobacillus sp. Its description in RNAcentral is "bacterial SSU rRNA". It matches the Rfam family "Bacterial small subunit ribosomal RNA", at positions 225 to 524 of the family's 1533-position model. Lineage: Bacteria; Bacillati; Bacillota; Bacilli; Lactobacillales; Lactobacillaceae. The record is from RNAcentral.
AUGGCCCCGCGGUGCAUUAGCUAGUUGGUAAGGUAAAGGCUUACCCAAGGCGAUGAUGCAUAGCCCGAGUUGAGAGACUGAUCGGGCCACAUUGGGGACUGAGACACGGGGCCCAAAACUCCUACGGGGGGAGGGGCAGCAGGUAGGGGGAAUCUUCCACAAUGGAACGCAAGUCUGAUGGAGCAACGCCGCGUGAGUGAAGAAGGUUUUCGGAAUCGUAAAGCUCUGUUGUUGGUGAAGAAGGAUAGAGGUAGUAACUGGUCCUUUAUUUGACGGUAAUCAACCAGAAAGUCACGGCUAACUACGUGCCAGCAGCCGCGGUAAU